Molecule: ribosomal RNA, 354 nt
Filed under: uncultured bacterium
Lineage: Bacteria
Description: bacterial SSU rRNA
Rfam family: Bacterial small subunit ribosomal RNA
Source: RNAcentral
AGAGUUUGAUCAUGGCUCAGGAUGAACGCUAGCUACAGGCUUAACACAUGCAAGUCGAGGGGAAACGACAUCGAAAGCUUGCUUUUGAUGGGCGUCGACCGGCGCACGGGUGAGUAACGCGUAUCCAACCUGCCCAUCACUUGGGGGAUAACCUUGCGAAAGUAAGACUAAUACCCAAUGAUAUCUCUAGAAGGCAUCUGAAAGAGAUUAAAGAUUUAUCGGUGAUGGAUGGGGAUGCGUCUGAUUAGCUUGUUGGCGGGGUAACGGCCCACAAAGCAACGAUCGGUAGGGGUUCUGAGAGGAAGGUCCCCCACAUUGGAACUGAGACACGGUCCAAACUCCUACGGGGAGGCA